This 441-nucleotide long non-coding RNA is filed under the name Hordeum vulgare. RNAcentral describes it as "long non-coding RNA (HVUL_LNC006187)". The record is from RNAcentral. Lineage: Eukaryota; Viridiplantae; Streptophyta; Magnoliopsida; Poales; Poaceae.
UCGCAGGUGGUCUUUUUUGACAAUCCCACUCGACAGGGGGUCCUUUUGAACAAAAAUCCUCAAAUCUACGGUCUCAAAGUAGACCCGAGAAGGGGCGGGGCUAAAACACCCAUGCCAACAGUUCCAGCGUUCAUUUUACUAGCACCAACUACGUACGAAUCUACUCCACAGGAACCUUGGCGAAUUAAGCUGCUUCAAAUGAAGCAAGCCUUUCCCUGCUACCACGACUUGUCCAAAGCAACAACUUUGAUGUUACCCUGCAGGCCUGCACAAACAAAACGCCAUAAGAACCGACGGCACAGCUGCGAAGCAAACAGUCGAUGCUUGAAUAAACAUUACAUGAUAGUAUCAAUCCUAGUGGAAAGAGUCAUGCUUGAAUACCAUCACACGAUACCAUCAAUCCUAGUGGGUUCAUCUUGACCCAGUCCUUGUCAAAUAUAC